This 322-nucleotide long non-coding RNA is filed under the name Gossypium barbadense (sea-island cotton). RNAcentral's name for it is "long non-coding RNA (GBAR_LNC015441)". The record is from RNAcentral. Lineage: Eukaryota; Viridiplantae; Streptophyta; Magnoliopsida; Malvales; Malvaceae.
GAAGAUGAUAAUUCUUUAUCUUUUCUUUCAUAUAUAUACUAAAUAGAAUAAUAAUAAAUUAAUAAAAUAUCAUUUAAAAAUCAAAUUAAAAUAUUAAUAAACUAAUAUUUAUUUAAUUAAUUAAUCUAAGAUACCACCAACAUCAUCAUUGCCUUCUAGAAUUCUCUCUCUCUCUAAUUAACUAUUUUGCCCUUUAUAAUCUUUUAAAAUUCCAUCCUUGAGUCAUCACUAAAUUUGGUAAAAUUACAAUUUAGUCCCUAAAAAAUUUUCACCUUUUCAAUUUGAUCCUAAUCAUCCAUUUUCCUUAGUUUCUAGAUUAUUC